RNAcentral lists this small nuclear RNA (107 nucleotides) under Balaenoptera musculus (blue whale). The record is from RNAcentral. Lineage: Eukaryota; Metazoa; Chordata; Mammalia; Artiodactyla; Balaenopteridae.
GUGCUUACUUCCACAGCACAUAUACUAAAAUCGGAACAAUACAGAAAAGAUUAACAUGGCCCCCGCACAAGGAUGACAUGAAAAUUCGUGAAGCACUCCCUAUCAUU